RNAcentral lists this long non-coding RNA (265 nucleotides) under Marmota monax (woodchuck). The record is from RNAcentral. Lineage: Eukaryota; Metazoa; Chordata; Mammalia; Rodentia; Sciuridae.
AUGGGCUGUGGGGAUCUGGCACUGUGGUUCCUGCAUGAAAACUAUGGACCUACAACACCACUUCUGCCAUCACAGUCAAGUCUACAAUCAGAAGGCUGAAGGAAUUGAAACCAGGAGAACCAGUAGAAAGUUCUACCAUAUAGCAAAAUUGUGGUUUGUUUGUUAUUCGUAUUAACUGCAUGUUCUGAUGUGAAUUGCAUUAAUAUUGCCCUUUCAAAAGAUUUGUAAAUUGAAGCCCUUCUGGAAAAUUUUGCUGAGAUGGGUU